GCGGCGUGCCUCAGACAUGCAAGUCGAACGCGAAAGUUUCCUUCGGGAAGCGAGUAGAGUGGCGCACGGGUGAGUAACACGUAGGUAAUCUACCUUUGGAUGGGGAAUAACAACCGGAAACGGUUGCUAAUACCGCAUAAUGCAGCGGCACCUAAUGGUGACAGUUGUUAAAGCGGGGGAUCGAAAGACCUCGCGUCUGAAGAGGAGCCUGCGGCGGAUUAGCUAGUUGGUAAGGUAAUGGCUUACCAAGGCUACGAUCCGUAACCGGCCUGAGAGGGCGGUCGGUCACACUGACACUGACAUACGGGUCAGACUCCUACGGGAGGCAGCAGUCGGGAAUUUUGGGCAAUGGGCGAAAGCCUGACCCAGCAACGCCGCGUGAAGGAUGAAAUCCCUCGGGAUGUAAACUUCGCAAGAACGGGAAGAAUAAGUAGGGGACAAUACCCCCUAUGAUGACGGUACCGUUUGUAAGCUCCGGCUAACUCCGUGCCAGCAGCCGCGGUAAUACGGGGGGAGCAAGCGUUGUUCGGAUUUACUGGGCGUAAAGGGCGCGUAGGCGGCCAGCACAAGUCAGUUGUGAAAUCUCCGAGCUUAACUCGGAAAGGUCAACUGAUACUGUGCGGCUAGAGUGCAGAAGGGGCAACUGGAAUUCUUGGUGUAGCGGUGAAAUGCGUAGAUAUCAAGAGGAACACCUGCGGCGAAGGCGGGUUGCUGGGCUGACACUGACGCUGAGGCGCGAAAGCUAGGGGAGCGAACGGGAUUAGAUACCCCGGUAGUCCUAGCCUUAAACGAUGAAUGCUUGGUGUCUGGGGUUAUAAAGUCCCCGGGUGCCGUCGCUAACGCUUUAAGCAUUCCGCCUGGGGAGUACGGUCGCAAGACUGAAACUCAAAGGAAUUGACGGGGACCCGCACAAGCGGUGGAGCAUGUGGUUUAAUUCGACGCAACGCGAAGAACCUUACCUGGGCUAGAAUGCCUCUGACAACCUUAGAGAUAGGGCCUUCUGGGUAAAACCAGACAGAGUGCAAGGUGCUGCAUGGCUGUCGUCAGCUCGUGUC
This 1055-nucleotide ribosomal RNA is filed under the name uncultured bacterium. Its description in RNAcentral is "bacterial SSU rRNA". It matches the Rfam family "Bacterial small subunit ribosomal RNA", at positions 39 to 1066 of the family's 1533-position model. The record is from RNAcentral.